This 494-nucleotide ribosomal RNA is filed under the name uncultured bacterium. Its description in RNAcentral is "partial 16S ribosomal RNA". It matches the Rfam family "Bacterial small subunit ribosomal RNA", at positions 29 to 507 of the family's 1533-position model. The record is from RNAcentral.
ACGAACGCUGGCGGCGUGCCUAAUACAUGCAAGUAGAACGCUGAAGGAGGAGCUUGCUUCUCUGGAUGAGUUGCGAACGGGUGAGUAACGCGUAGGUAACCUGCCUGGUAGCGGGGGAUAACUAUUGGAAACGAUAGCUAAUACCGCAUAAGAGUAGAUGUCGCAUGACAUUUGCUUAAAAGGUGCAAUUGCAUCACUACCAGAUGGUCCUGCGUUGUAUUAGCUAGUUGGUGAGGUAACGGCUCACCAAGGCAACGAUACAUAGCCGACCUGAGAAGGUGGUCGGCCACACUGGGACGGAGACACGGCCCAGACUCCUACGGGAGGCAGCAGUAGGGAAUCUUCGGCAAUGGACGGAAGUCUGACCGAGCAACGCCGCGGGAGUGAAGAAGGUUUUCGGAUCGUAAAGCUCUGUUGUAAGAGAAGAACGAGUGUGAGAGUGGAAAGUUCACACUGUGACGGUAUCUUACCAGAAAGGGACGGCUAACUACGUG